This 470-nucleotide ribosomal RNA is filed under the name uncultured bacterium. RNAcentral's name for it is "bacterial SSU rRNA". It matches the Rfam family "Bacterial small subunit ribosomal RNA", at positions 329 to 792 of the family's 1533-position model. The record is from RNAcentral.
CUCCAGACUCCUACGGGAGGCAGCAGUGGGGAAUUUUGGACAAUGGGCGCAAGCCUGAUCCAGCUAUUCCGCGUGUGGGAUGACGGCCCUCGGGUUGUAAACCACUUUAGUAGAGAACGAAAAGGAGCUAUCGAAUAAAUAGCUCUGCUGACGGUACUCUAAGAAUAAGCACCGGCUAACUCCGUGCCAGCAGCCGCGGUAAUACGGAGGAUGCGAGCGUUAUCCGGAUUUAUUGGGUUUAAAGGGUGCGUAGGCGGAGUGUCAAGUCAGCGGUAAAAUUUCGGGGCUCAACCCCGUCGUGCCGUUGAAACUGACGCCCUUGAGUGAGUGAGAAGUAAGCGGAAUGCGUGGUGUAGCGGUGAAAUGCAUAGAUAUCACGCAGAACUCCGAUUGCGAAGGCAGCAUACCGGCGCGCAACUGACGCUCAUGCACGAAAGCGUGGGUAUCGAACAGGAUUAGAUACCCCCGUA